Molecule: ribosomal RNA, 253 nt
Filed under: uncultured bacterium
Lineage: Bacteria
Description: partial 16S ribosomal RNA
Rfam family: Bacterial small subunit ribosomal RNA
Source: RNAcentral
UACGGAGGGUGCAAGCGUUAUCCGGAUUCACUGGGUUUAAAGGGUGCGUAGGCGGGCAGGUAAGUCCGUGGUGAAAUCUCUGAGCUUAACUCAGAAACUGCCAUGGAUACUAUUUGUCUUGAAUGUUGUGGAGGUAAGCGGAAUAUGUCAUGUAGCGGUGAAAUGCUUAGAUAUGACAUAGAACACCAAUUGCGAAGGCAGCUUAGUACACAAAUAUUGACACUGAUGCACGAAAGCGUGUGGAUCAAGCAGG